CCUACGGGUGGCAGCAGUGGGGGAUAUUGCACAAUGGGGGGAACCCUGAUGCAGCGACGCCGCGUGGGUGAAGGAGUAUUUCGGUAUGUAAAGCCCUAUCGGCAGGGAAGAAAUUGGACGGUACCUGACUAAGAAGCCCCGGCUAACUACGUGCCAGCAGCCGCGGUAAUACGUAGGGGGCAAGCGUUAUCCGGUUUCACUGGGUGUAAAGGGAGCGUAGACGGCCAUGCAAGCCAGAGGUGAAAGCCCGGGGCCCAACCCCGGGAAUGCCCUUGGAACUGCAUGGCUGGAGUGCGGGAGGGGCAAGCGGAAUUCCUGGUGUAGCGGUGAAAUGCGUAGAUAUCAGGAGGAACACCAGCGGCGAAGGCGGCCUACUGGACCGCGACUGACGUUGAGGCUCGAAAGCGUGGGGAGCGAACAGGAUUAGAGACCCCAGUAGUC
RNAcentral lists this ribosomal RNA (441 nucleotides) under uncultured bacterium. RNAcentral's name for it is "partial 16S ribosomal RNA". It matches the Rfam family "Bacterial small subunit ribosomal RNA", at positions 338 to 795 of the family's 1533-position model. The record is from RNAcentral.